Long non-coding RNA from Perognathus longimembris pacificus (Pacific pocket mouse), 2016 nucleotides. RefSeq lists it as uncharacterized. The transcript is spliced from 3 exons. The record is from RefSeq and is a predicted model, not a curated record. Lineage: Eukaryota; Metazoa; Chordata; Mammalia; Rodentia; Heteromyidae.
UGAUCAGGAUUCAUUGUACUCACACACUGACCGGUUGAAUUAUAUAACUUCUUGGUGCAACUACUUAAGGAUGAUGAAAAGUAAGCACUGGGAGAAAACAGGGGUUACUUUUCUAAGGAGCUCCCACUUGAUAAUGGGUGGCAGAAUGCAGUUUGGAAACAUGUGGCCUAAGGGAGGUACUAAAAGAAAUAAGCAAACAAAUAUGAUACUAUGCUAAUAUGGUAGAAAAGCUGAUUUAUAAAAAAUUCAGUUAGUUCAAGUAAAAUAUGAAAUAUAGAGAUAAAAAAUUAAGAAUGAACAAAUAAGAUCAUAAAAAGCAACAAUAAAGAAAUAAACAAUAAAGCAAAAUAAAUAUAUUUAAAUAUAACCUUAUUUUAUGUUAAAUACAAAAUAACACUAUAAUAUAAAACUUCAACACACAUAAAGCAAAAAUGGACAGAAAUGUAAAGACAUAAAUCCAGAAUUAUAGUUGACAAUAUCAACAUUCCUUUCUCAGUAACGGCUAAAAAUGGACACAAAAUCAGUAAGCACAUUCAAAACUUGAAAAACACUAUCUAACAAUUAAAGAUAAUUGAUAUUUACAAAAUGUUCUACCCAAUAACCCUACGCAAAAAUAACUAAGGUGAAAAGAGGUGGAGGUGUGGCUCAAGUGGUAGGGAAUCAGGCCUUGGGUUCAAACCCCAAUAGCACACACAAAUAAAUCCCUUCCAUACAGUGGGAAGAAAUUUGGGGAGAAAAAGAGAUGAUGGAGGGGGGUGUACGUAAUCAGAAUAUAUAUUAUGAAAAUGUCAAACCUCCACUAAAAUCUAAGAGGCAGAGGAACAGAAGGAGUUGGAGAAGUACAUUCUAUGCUGUGUCUAUCAUAAUGAAGCUUCUUUGUACAAUUAGUUUAUGUUAAUCAAAACCUCUGAAAAGAAAACAAAAGCCAGAAACCAGUGCCCUAAAACUUGCCACUUAAGAAGUUUAGUGCAGUAAAGAGCUAAUACCAUCCAAGUGAGCAGAAUUAAAAAGCAUGAAAAUAAAUGAGCUCAUGUUUAAUAAAACAGGUAACUCUGAAAACCAUAGUAGUUUUCACUGAAAUGAAGAGAAUGAGCGAUUUCUAUAGUUUCUUUGCAUAUAUUACCUAUUACCAUGCAUGAUUGCCAUUUAGCUGGGCACUUGCAGAGUUUGCCAAUUGUUCUAUGUCCUAAAGCUCAUCCUUAAAGCCUGAAUCAUGAAGACAUUAUUGGUUUUAUAUUUUCAAAAUCUAAAAAAAAUAAGAAAGAUUAAUGGCACGGGAGUUUCCCUGUGACAUUGUCACACAAGCAUUUAAUGUACUUUGAUCAUAUUUACACUCUAAUUGCUUUCCCUUGUUCCCCUCUCUCUGAGAACUUUUUUCUGUUUACUUUCUACUCUCAUGUAGUUAUCCUACAUUCUAUGUGUAACAGAGCUUACUGUGCUUAACAUAAUAACUUGCAAUUUCAUCCAUUUUCCUGAAAAUGACAAGACUUUGUCCUUCUUUAUGACUGAAUAGUAUUCUAUUGUGUGAUGAUGUUUUGUGUAUAACUUUUCCUUUGUACAUUAAUCCAUACUAAUCCAGUACUACGAUGAUUCCACUCCUUGGCUACUGUGUGUAAUACUGUGCUAAACAUAGAUAUGUUGGUGUUGGUAUUUUAUGCAGCCUUUGGGUAUAUUUCCUGGUAUAUUUGCUAAAUUAUAUGAUAAUUCUGUACUGAUUUUGAUAGAGGUUACAAAUCUACAUUCCUACCCCUUGCCAGCACAUUGUUUAUUUUCUUAAUGACAGUCAGUCUUCCUGGGGAGAGAUGGGACAUUAAUGUCAUACGGAAUUAUAUUUUCCUGAUGGCUGAAGAUGUCAAACAUUUUUUCAUGUAUUUAUUUUUAUUUGCACAUUUUUUUUUGGAAAAGUGUCUUUCUAGUUCACUUGCCCACUUGUUGACUGGAUUACAUGUUCAUUGUUGUUCAUGUUUUUCGGGUUCUUUGUAUACUCAAGGUACUAAUCUAUUGGGCAAACAGCUG